UACAGAGGUCCCAAGCGUUGUUCGGAUUCAUUGGGCGUAAAGGGUGCGUAGGCGGCGCGGUAAGUCGGGUGUGAAAUCUCGGGGCUUAACUCCGAAACUGCAUUCGAUACUGCCGUGCUUGAGGACUGGAGAGGAGACUGGAAUUUACGGUGUAGCGGUGAAAUGCGCAGAUAUCGGGAAGAACACCCGUGGCGAAGGCGGCUCUCUGGGACGGUACUGACGCUGAGACGCGAAAGCGUGGGGAGCGAACAGG
This 253-nucleotide ribosomal RNA is filed under the name uncultured bacterium. RNAcentral's name for it is "partial 16S ribosomal RNA". It matches the Rfam family "Bacterial small subunit ribosomal RNA", at positions 524 to 776 of the family's 1533-position model. The record is from RNAcentral.